This is a long non-coding RNA of Fukomys damarensis (Damara mole-rat), 728 nucleotides long. RefSeq lists it as uncharacterized. The transcript is spliced from 4 exons. Lineage: Eukaryota; Metazoa; Chordata; Mammalia; Rodentia; Bathyergidae. The record is from RefSeq and is a predicted model, not a curated record.
UGGGGCGACUUCCCUUGUGGUGAUGCUGCUGCCCACUGUGGGCUGUGCUGGGAGGGGGGUGGAGAGAUGGCUGGGAUCCAGAAGACGAGAAGCAAACAAGCCCAGCACCAGGCAGAGAUCCAGUGGAAAAAAAUGCCCAGCCUACUGUGAUGCCAAUUAGUCUCUCUUCCCACGGCGGGCCAGCGUCCCCGCAGGAGGAAAUCCGUGGAGCAGACAGCGAGGUCCUCGGAAAGCCCAGCUGUGAUGAAUAGGACUUCGGGCUCCCCUGGGACAUGGCUGGUUAUUUUGUAGGAAAUUGAAUUUCUUGGCCAAGUCUGAUUGUAUGAACCCUAAGAGAGAAAGUCCUCUGUCAACCAAGAGAACAUCAGGACACCAGCACACAGAGAGGGUUAACACCAGCAAGUGUGGUCUCUAACCCAGCCUUGUGACUUCAGGUGUAUCUUGUACCCUCUGGGGCUCUGUAUCCACAUCUAUAAAAUGGAUUGAACACCUCCUUGCAGGGAGUUCUGAAAUACAUAGCACGGUUGCUUUGUUCUAAUCCCCAAUAAUCUUUCUAUAAGCAAUUCAGGAUCUCCCAACUCAGGGAAGUCAAAACCCUUCUGAAGAGUGCAGUCACAGCGGCUCAUUCAUUAUGGCUCUAAUAACAGCGGCGGGCCCGAGAGCACCAGGCUGCAGAGGAGCCGGCCUCUGCAGCUGCAGAAAGCCAAUACCUUUUUAAAUACAUUUAC